AGAGUUUGAUCAUGGCUCAGAGUGAACGCUGGCGGCAGGCCUAAUACAUGCAAGUCGAACGGCAGCACAGCAGGAGCUUGCUCUGUGGGUGGCGAGGUGGCGGACGGGUGAGGAAUACGUGGGAAUCUGCCCAGUCGUGGGGGAUAACGUAGGGAAACUUACGCUAAUACCGCAUGCGCCCUUCGGGGGAAAGCCGGGGACCUUCGGGCCUGGCGCGAUUGGAUGAGCCCACGUCGGAUUAGCUAGUUGGCGGGGUAAAGGCCCACCAAGGCGACGAUCCGUAGCUGGUCUGAGAGGAUGAUCAGCCACACUGGAACUGAGACACGGUCCAGACUCCUACGGGAGGCAGCAGUAGGGAAUAUUGGACAAUGGGCGCAAGCCUGAUCCAGCCAUGCCGCGUGAGUGAAGAAGGCCCUCGGGUUGUAAAGCUCUUUUGUCCGGAAAGAAAAGCGCCGGGUUAAUACCCUGGUGUCCUGACGGUACCGGAAGAAUAAGCACCGGCUAACUUCGUG
This 512-nucleotide ribosomal RNA is filed under the name uncultured bacterium. RNAcentral describes it as "bacterial SSU rRNA". It matches the Rfam family "Bacterial small subunit ribosomal RNA", at positions 8 to 507 of the family's 1533-position model. The record is from RNAcentral.